AGGGAGGAAGAAACAACAGGGAUUGCCCCAGUAACGGCGAGUGAAGCGGCAACAGCUCAAAUUUGAAAUCUGGCCCCCGGGUCCGAGUUGUAAUUUGCAGAGGAUGCUUCGGGCGAGGUGCCUUCCGAGUUCCCUGGAACGGGACGCCAUAGAGGGUGAGAGCCCCGUCUGGUCGGACACCGAGCCCGUGUGAAGCUCCUUCGAAGAGUCGAGUAGUUUGGGAAUGCUGCUCAAAAUGGGAGGUAUAUGUCUUCUAAAGCUAAAUAUUGGCCAGAGACCGAUAGCGCACAAGUAGAGUGAUCGAAAGAUGAAAAGCACUUUGAAAAGAGGGUUAAAAAGUACGUGAAAUUGUUGAAAGGGAAGCGCCCAUGACCAGACUUGGGCCCGGUGAAUCACCCGGCGUUCUCGCCGGUGCACUUUGCCGGGCACAGGCCAGCAUCAGUUUGGCGCGGGGGAUAAAGGCUUCGGGAAUGUGGCUCCCUCGGGAGUGUUAUAGCCCGUUGCGCAAUACCCUGCGCCGGACUGAGGUACGCGCAUCGCAAGGAUGCUGGCGUAAUGGUCAUCAGCGACCCGUCUUGAAACACGGACCAAGGAGUCGUCUUCGUAUGCGAGUGUUCGGGUGUCAAACCCCUACGCGGAAUGAAAGUGAACGCAGGUGAGAGCUUCGGCGCAUCAUCGACCGAUCCUGAUGUUCUCGGAUGGAUUUGAGUAAGAGCAUACGGGGCCGGACCCGAAAGAAGGUGAACUAUGCCUGUAUAGGGUGAAGCCAGAGGAAACUCUGGUGGAAGCUCGCAGCGGUUCUGACGUGCGAAUCGAUCGUCAAAUAUGGGCAUGGGGGCGAAAGACUAAUCGAACCUUCUAGUAGCUGGUUUCCGCCGAAUUUCCCCUCAGGGAGAG
RNAcentral lists this ribosomal RNA (897 nucleotides) under Cordyceps sp. RNAcentral describes it as "partial large subunit ribosomal RNA". It matches the Rfam family "Eukaryotic large subunit ribosomal RNA", at positions 50 to 981 of the family's 3401-position model. The record is from RNAcentral. Lineage: Eukaryota; Fungi; Ascomycota; Sordariomycetes; Hypocreales; Cordycipitaceae.